CUAACUGGAUGGCGAGCGGGCGCGGGAAGUGGGAGGGGGCAGUCGGUGUCGGGAAUAAGGGGGCGUAAAGGGCGGGCAGGCGGGUUGUGACGUCCGGGGUGAAAACCCAGAGUGCAACUCUGGGACUGCCUUGGAUACGGGGAAACUGGAGGGUCGGAGAGGCAAGGGGAAUUCCACGUGUAGCGGUGAAAUGCGUAGAGAUGUGGAGGAACACCUGUGGCGAAGGCGCCUUGCUGGCCGAUUUCUGACGCUGAGGCGCGAAAGCGUGGGGAGCAAACAGGAUUAGAUACCCUGGUAGUC
This 300-nucleotide ribosomal RNA is filed under the name uncultured Slackia sp. RNAcentral describes it as "bacterial SSU rRNA". It matches the Rfam family "Bacterial small subunit ribosomal RNA", at positions 497 to 795 of the family's 1533-position model. Lineage: Bacteria; Bacillati; Actinomycetota; Coriobacteriia; Eggerthellales; Eggerthellaceae. The record is from RNAcentral.